Molecule: non-coding RNA, 117 nt
Filed under: Homo sapiens (human)
Lineage: Eukaryota; Metazoa; Chordata; Mammalia; Primates; Hominidae
Source: Rfam by way of RNAcentral
GCCAGGCGUGGUGGCUCACGCCUGUAAUCCCAGCACUUUGGGAGGCCGAGGUGGGUGGAUCACCUGAGGUCAGGAGUUCAAGACCAGCCUGGCCAAUAUGGUGAACCCUCAUCUCUA